Molecule: long non-coding RNA, 1422 nt
Organism: Salmo salar (Atlantic salmon)
Lineage: Eukaryota; Metazoa; Chordata; Actinopteri; Salmoniformes; Salmonidae
Source: RefSeq, a predicted model, not a curated record
AAUUGAGGAGUAUGUGCGCGCGUUGUUGUGGAGACAGAGAGACGUGAUCAAGUUGUUGUCUCCCAUGAGAUUCUAUUUGAUCAUUUGUAGGCUGUGCUUUGAGUCAAAUGUGAGAGGAAUUACCCACGCAUCAGAUUUCCAAUAGCGACUUCAUAAAAUAAACAAAACAGCAAUGUAUUGGAGUGAUAGAGAAGGUAUUUAUAAUGCGGUGAAAACUACUCUCCAAACUGGCAUAUGAAAGGAGCGCCAAGGUACCUGAUUGGAGCGCACAGGUAGUUUACCUGCACGCAAAUGGCUGCCUUCCGGCAUGUAUUCAGAGGCACUACAGCGGAUACCUCUGCCUUUUUAUCUUGACUGAUCCACUCAUAGCCAACUGGAUUAGACUGGCGAUCAUACCAGACCAGGAAUAUGGGAACUGGAUAAAGAUGUUAUCAGGCUUGAUUACCAACAAUGAUGAGACAGCCUACAGAAAGGAAGUGAAACCCUCACAAACUUCUACAGAAGCAUCAUUCGGAGCAUCCUGUCGGCUGUAUCACCACCUGGUACUUCAAUUGCACCGCACAUGCAGGGCUCUCCAGAGGGUGGUGAAGUCAGCCCAACGCAUCACCAGGGCACACUGCCUGCCCUCCAGGACAUCUACAGCACCCAGUGUCACAGGAAGGCCAAGAUGAUCAUCAAGGACCUCAGCCACCUGAACCACGGCCUGUUCACCCCGCUACCAUCUAGAACGCAGAGACAGUACAGGUGCAUCAAGGCAAAUCUCCAGGCCAUCAGACUGAAUCUUAUACUGUUCUAGCCAGCUACCACCCUGCACCUUAGAAACUGCUGCCUUAUGUACAUAGAGUCAUUGAAUAAUGGUGGCCUUAACCUUUUACUGCAGUGGGCUAAAUCAGGGUCCCACAGAGUAAUUCUUGGUGUUCUUAAACAAAUCUACUGUGAAACAAAAGUAUACACACACAAGAAUAUGGGCUUAAAAAAACAAAGACACCUGUACCAUGUCAGAUAUAGAGUUGAAAUGGAUUACAUUUUGACUUUGCAUCCAAUAUUACCCUUUAUAUACAUCACAGAAGACUGAAAUAAAGCAAAACUGUUUGACAUAGAAACACCGGAUUUUCUGCAAGUGUUUUCAAAUAAUCUUUAUUAAUUAUGACAUUAUAAAAAAUAUGACUAACAUUCCACCCAUGAGGCAAAGGGGGUGCUUUUGGCCAUUGACUAAAGGAAAGGGAUACUAAUGUUUACGUACUGUUUCACUCAAUUUAUACACUGAAUGUACAAUACAUAAAAAAAAAAAAAUUAGGAACACCUGCUCUUUCCAUGACAUAGACUGGCCAGGUGACUCCAGGUGAAAGCUGUGAACCCUUAUUGAUGUCAUCUGUUAAAAAUUCAAUCAGUGUAGAUGAAUGUAGAGGAGACAGGUUAAAA